RNAcentral lists this long non-coding RNA (8523 nucleotides) under Diabrotica virgifera virgifera (western corn rootworm). RNAcentral describes it as "uncharacterized LOC126893306". The record is from RNAcentral. Lineage: Eukaryota; Metazoa; Arthropoda; Insecta; Coleoptera; Chrysomelidae.
GAAGGCGAACGAGGAAAAGGGAAAGUAAAUCAAAAGUUCUAUGCCGCUGCAAAUAUGUAUAAAAGUACUCGAAAGUAAUAAUCCUGCAAGUCAAUUUGCUGAAUUCAAAUCGUUUAUCAAAAAGUCAUUCACUGUAUAAAAAGCUCUCUCCAGCAAAUAAGCUUUCAAGGCCUUGCGAAAAGCGAGAAAUGCUGCAAUAGAUUUGAUGUUAGAUGGCAGGUGAUUGUACAUUUUUCUCGAAUUGUAUAGUAUAGAGCACUUAAGGCAGGUUCUUGCAUUUGUCGAUUACGAGAAAGCUUUUAAUUCUGUAGAGUUUGAAUCAGUACUGGAAGCUCUAAAGCAAAGCCGAAUAUUACAGGUGUACGUCAUUAAUCAAAAACAUCUAUGAUAGCGCUACAUCAAGUAUACAACUACACGAAGACACAGACAAAUUCCGCUUAAGUCGAGGAGGAAGACAAAGAGACAAUAUUUCACCAAAAUCGUUCACGGCAGCUCUAGAGUCAAUAUUUAAGAAUAUUCAAUUAGUCCAGAGAAAUAAGGUUUUUGUCGGGACACUUGAGCAGCCAGGUUGCAAAUGGAUUUUUUGGGUACUAUAUACCUAAUACAUUAUAAAUACAAACAUGCCCGUCACAGUUCGGACGAGAAACUUAGUUAUUAAUAAAUAAGGGUCAAAAAUGGCAGUUUUUUCGUUUAAAUCGCUACAGGUAAAAAUAGGGUAAUUAAAUAUCUUAUUUAUAAUAUUUUUCUUUUUGUAGAUGAGCCAAGGUUUAAAAUGGCACUUUUUGAAUUUUGGUCCGAUCCUUUUUUGUUUCGGAAAGUGCAAAAUAAGACUAAAAUUUCAAAAAUAAAAAAUGUGCUAUAACUUUUGCGAAAAUGGCCUUAAGACUUUCAUAUUGCACAAAAAGUUGAGUCAAACAUUCCGUAUAAUGUACAAAAAAUUUUAAGACGAUUCGUCAAUUAGUUUAAAUUUUAUUCAAUUUGUUUAUCGCAAAGAGCUUUUUUCGCAAUGUUAUUGUUCAGAAAAUAAUAAUGACAUAGCAAUUCUGUGGAAACCACAUACAAGAAUAAUAGUUAUAUUUUUAAAGUAUUGAAAAAAAUCAUUAAAAAGUCGUUUUUAUCACUCCGAAAAAAGUUUAGUAAAAUAGAGUCAUUUUUGGCUUCUAAACAAUUUGAAUAACUUGUUAAUAUUGACUAUAGAGUAAAUCUACUUCAGGAUUUCAAAAGCUGGUAUUUUUAUACGAAUUUUCAGAAAAAAACUUUUUGCCCAGGUUAAUUAGGUUCAAAGUUAGCCACUUUUAUUCUUUAAUUUGUAGUUACUUCUAUAUACAUCAAAUUCUCCUGUAACAGUGUUAGUUACCAUACUACGAAACGGCUUGGCCGAUUUUUAUAAAAUUUUACACGUUUAUCCUGUAGGACGUUGAAGAGGUUUUAAUCUAUUUUUAUACCCAUAAGUUAUAAUGGGGGUUGCCCCCCUGACAUUUUUUUUUAUUUUUUUGGACAAAAUUAUCUACCUUAAUUUUAUAUGAUGUAGAAUUAAAAAAUAAAUACAACCCUUAAUUUUCAUUCUUCUAUCACCAACUCCAAUUUGUUAAUAGCCAUCUAUAUAUUUACAUCUUUAAAAUUCUCCUGUCACAGUGUUAGUUUCCAUACUCCUCCGAGACCGCUUGACCGAUUUUUAUGAAAUUAUAUAUGUAUAUUCGGUAGGUCUUAGAAUCGGUCGUAAUCUAUUUUUCAUAUCCCUGAGUGAUAAGGGGAGUUCCCCCUAACAUUUUGUAAUGUUAGGUGGGGUUGUGUGUACAUAACGUACCCUAUAAGACUACGAGUACAUACAAAUUUAAAAAAUUAUGAUCAAAAGCCAUCAACAAGUUGCAGCGAUAUUAAUCGCAGCAUAUGUUUGCAGAUUCAGUUUCAUUUUUUGAGUGCACGUAUUUUAGUAAUUCCCCUCCACCGACCACGAAUUAAUUCCGUUCAAACGCCAUUUUUAAAGCUUUAUUAACCACUCUGUUGAGGUUCAAAGUUUACUCAAACUUUUACACAUAACCUAUACAGGGUGUUUCAUUAAUAAUUGUCCAUACAGUAACUGGAGAAACCUUAGCACAAAAUACGAAGAUUUAAUCUAAAACACCUACAUAAAAUGUGGUUCCUUACUGAGUUACAGGGUGUUUUAUCUAAAAAUUUAAAAACUAUUUUUGCUCAGCAUUUUAAAACUAUUCGAUGUAUCCUUUUCAUACUUGGCAAAAAGUGCGACUACUAGACACCCUACUAAAUUACGAUAAACAAACGUUUCUAGCUACUACCAGAGGCGUACGACAGGGGAUGGUGAAUGGUUAGCCUUUCUCAAAUUCUAGGCCACUGGAGGAAUUACUAUUUUCGUACCAUUUUUAGAUUCUCCAAUACUUUCUACGUAAAUAAUAUACUCUUCAUUGGUAUCGAUAAAGUCAUUAGUUUUCGAGAUAUUUGAAGUUAAAUAUGAAACGGCACAGUUAUUUUGAUUAAUUUAUGUUAUUAUGAUUCAUAUGAUGAAAAUUUAAAAAUUAUUUGUACCCAGUACUUUAAAACUAUUUGGCGUAUCCUUAUCAUACUUGGUAGAAAUUGUAGGUACUGUAAAACCUACUAAAUUAAGAUAAAUAGACUUUUCUAGCUACUACCAGAGGAGUACGACAGGGGAUAGUGGCUGGUUGACCCUUCCCAAAUUCUACGCCACUGACGAAAUUGCUAUUUUAGUGUACAUUUUUGAUUUUGCAUUACUUUUUAUGUAAAUAAUAUACUCUUCAUUCGUAACGAUAAAAUAAUUAGUUUUCGAGAUAUUUGAAAUUAAAAAUGAAGCGACACAAUACAUUAAUCAAAAUAACCGUGUCGUUUCAUUUUUAACUUCAAAGAUCUCGAAAACUAAUGACUUUAUCGUUACGAAUGAAGAGUAUAUUAUUUUCAUAGAAAGUAUUGGAGAAUCCAAAAAUUGAACUAAAAUGGCAAUUUCGCCAGUGGCGUAGAAUUUGAGAAGGGUCAACCAUUCACUUUCCCCCGUCGUACGCCUCUGGUAAUAGCCAGAAACGUUUGUUUAACAUAAUUUAGUAGUGUGUACAGUACCUAUACUUCCUGCCAAGUAUGAAAAGGAUACGUCGAACAGUUUUAAAAUGCUGAGCAAAAAUAGUUUUUAAAUUUUUAGAUAAAACACCCUGUAACUCAGUAAGGAACCACAUUUUAUUUAGAUGUUUUAGGUUAAAUCUCCGUAUUUUGUGCUAAGGUUUCUCCAGUUACUAUAUGGACAAUUAUUAAUGAAACACCCUGUAUAUCUUCAACUUCGAAAUGGCUCUAGUUAGGUUGCAUAAUUGUUAUAAACAAAGUAGCCGUCAAUUAAAUAAAAAAAGUGACUAACUUUGACCGUAAUUAACCUAGGCGAAAAGUUUUUCUUUGAAAAUUCGUAUAAAAAUACCAGUUUUUCAAAUCCUAUUGUAGUUUUAGCCUACAGUCAAUAUUAACAAAGUUAUUCAAAUUGUUUAUAAGCGAAAAAUGACUCUAUUUUAGUAAAAUGUUUUCUGAGUGAUAAAAAUGACUUUUUAAUGAUUUUUUUAAAUGCGUUGAAAAUGUGACUAUUCUUCUUUCAUGUUGUUUUCACAGAAUUGCUGUAUCAUUAUUAUUUUCUGAACAAUAACAUUGCGAAAAGAAAGCUCUUUGGGAUAAACAAAUUGAAUAAAAUUUAAACUAAUUGAUGCAUCGUCUUAAAAUUUUUUGUGCAUUGUAUGGACUGUUUGACUCAACUUUUCGUGCAAUAUGAAAGUCCUUAAUUCAGUUUCGCAAAAGUUAUAGCAAAUUUUUUAUUUUCGAAAUCUUAGUUUUAUUUUGCAAUAUACGAAGCAACAAAUAAUCGCACCAAAAUUUAAAAAACGCUUUUUUAAACCUUGGCUCAUCUACUAAAAGAAAAAUAUUAUAAAUAAGACAUUUAAUUACCCUAUUUUUACCUGUAGCGAUUUAAACGAAAAAACUCUCAUUUUUGACCCUUAUUUGUUAAUAACUAAAUUUCUCGUCCAAACUGUGACGGGCAUUUUUGUAUUUAUAAUGUAUUAGGUAUAUAGUACCCAAAAAACCCAUUUGCAACCCGGCUGCUCAAGUGUCCCGAACAUGGUACAUUUUUGUCUUAUUUCCCUGGUGUAAAUGGCAAGAUACGGGCAUCAAUAUAGGUGGAAAAAAAUUAAAUAAUCAUCUGAGGUUUGCAGACAAUGUUGUAUUAAUCGUAGACAACUUAAAAGAUACAGUUUCUAUGAUACAUUCGCUUAAAACUCUGAGAGAGCACGAUUAAAAAUAAAUUUUUUAUGACAAAACUAAACUGAUGGCAAAUCUCGUAAUGAGUGGAAAUAUAGCUAUACCGGUUGGUGAAUCGUAAAACGGGCCAUAGGAAACUCAAUGUAAAAUUCUAAACUGUCGAAUUCCUGCUUCCCUAAUUAUUUUACAUCAAAAGUCAUGAGAGAAUAUUUGUAGAGGAUUGAAAUCUGUAUUAAAAUCAAAAGUUAAAAUUGUUCUACGAUUUAAACGCAUUCCAAAAUUUUGAAAAAUAUAAUACAUUUGCACAGUAGGUAUGUGUGUCAAAGUUAGGCCACACGUUACUAUUUAACUGACAGUGCUCACACCAUUGACUGAAUAAAAAAAUCUUUAUUACUAAUACUUUCUCCGCAACUGAGGGUAUCUUAUCAACUGUGUUUUUAAACAAUAAAUGAUAAAAUAAAAAUAUUGACAGUUUAAAAAAAAUGUGAAAAUAAUAACUUCAUUGUGACCCAUUAUUGCACUGUGCUUGGCCUAAUUUUGGGCUGAAAAACUGAAAAAUGUAUUACGUUUUUACAAAAUUUUGGAACAUGUUUAAUUCGUAGAACACUUUUAACAGUUGUUUUCAAUACAGAUUUCAAUCCUCUACAAAUAGUUUCUAAUGACUUUUGAUGUAAAAUAAUUAGGGAAGCAGGAAUUCAACAGUUUAGAAUUUUACAUUGAGUUUCCUAUGGCCCGUUUUCCAAUUCACCACCCGGUAUAUAUAACACCGGUUUAUAGCGUCCUGUGCCUUCCGAUUCCUAUUUUCCAGCCGCGUCGAUCUGUCCAUAUCUGUCCUGGUUGUAGAUCUCUCUCAGACAUUGCUUUCUGGAUUCCACUUAUCCAGGUAGUUUUCGGUCUGCCCUUUUCCUUCUUUCCGGGGGUUGCCAUUCCAUUAUUAGCUUUGGGAGUCGAUAUUCCUCCAUUCUUUGUACAGAGCCAUACCAACAAAGUUUUUUUUCUUGGAUUUAUUCUAUUAUGUUUGUUUUCCUAUGCAUAAUAUCUCGUACUCGUUCAUUCGUUGUGUGUGGGACUCUAGAGAUGCAGGUCGAUCUUCGCCAAGAGUCCAUUUCCAGUGCGAGCAACUUCUGUUCGCUUAUUCAGUUGCCAGGUUUCACAUCCAUACAGUAUUACGCUUUUAAAGAUGCUAUUACAUAGCUGUGUUUUCUUUUCUUUUGAUAUGGCUUUUGACCAAAAUAGUGAGUUCAAAGCUCCUAUUAUUGUCUUUUCUUUCAUAAUUCUUUCCUCUGUUUCGAAUUAUGUCCUUCCACUUUGUUGGAUUCUCGUUCCAAGGUAUACAUAAUCACAGCUUGGCUCAAUAAUCAUAUCCUCUAGUUCUAACUCUUUUUUUUCUCCUCCUAUACACAUUUAUUUGGUUUUCUCUAUAUUGACGUAUAGACCUCAUAUUUUGUAUUCUCAUUUUGUAUGUCAUAAAUAUUAGAUCAUCUUUAUCCUGGGCAAUCACCACCUGAUCAUCAGCAAAAUGUAGUGUGUAUAGUGUUGAGUCGUCGUUUAGCUGUACCUAUCCCCAUGCCAGAACAUGCUUUCCGCCAUUUAUUCAAGACCUCAUUUAUAUGGAUUUUAAACAAUGUAGGCGAUAAGCUGCAUCCCUGUCGUAGACCCUUAUUCACCAGGAAGGUAUCGGAUAAUCUGGUGUUGAUUUUUAUGUUUGCUUGAAUGUUGUUAUAGAAUUUUUGUAAUACUUUUAUUAAAGUUAUAAAAGUAGAUGAUUUUUCCAUUUGUUUCAAGCGAAAGGUUUAUAACCAAUGUGUUUUACCCGUACAAACUUAUGGAGCAGAGACUUUAACACUAACGCAAAAAUCCGAGAAUAAACUCAGAGUUACAUAACGAACCAUGGAACGUGUAGCGAACACUGAAAGGAACUGAGGAAGGCCUGUGCCCACCAGUGGACGCGAUUGGCCGAUUGAUAGGAAGCAGAAGAUCCAUUAGAAUCAAAAGUCUUCUGUAUUGGGGAAGGCAAUGGGAAAUCACCUUAAUUAAUAAUUAAGUAGAGGACAAGCAAACAGGGCUUCCCAGGCUGUAAAUCAGCGAAAUCCCUGCUUAUUAAAUAUGCACAAAAACCUCAAAAUUGCGACAAGGAAUAUUAAGAAAUAUUGAACAGGAGAUGCAUAAACUUUGGAGAAAUAUAAAGAAAGGAAGAAUCUAUUAUUCGGAAAACACAGAUAUGGAGUCACCAUUACACCAGCAAAAAGUAAAGGGCUUAAAGUCAAUCAAUGACAAAAAUCUGGAUAUUCUAGUGGAAGUAUUCGAUAAAUUGUAUUACACAACAGAAAUCAUCAUCGUCAAACUUCUUCUUCUUCUUCCUCAGCUUAUUCCUUUUCAGGGGUCGCUGUUCGUUACUCUUCUUCGCCACUCAUAUCUGUCCAUCGGGUCUUCUUCACCUACAUACCUUUCUCUCCCAAGUUUUAUGCCACACAGUCCUUUCAUUUUUUCCUCGGUUUGCCUCUAUUCUGUCCUUCCAUAAACUUCUAACAGCUCUAUCCUUCGUUCCACAUAGUUUUUAUUUCUACGUGUAACAUGACCAAACCAUUGCAGUCUUUGUUCUUGAAUAUUUUUUGAGACUAUCGUCACCCCGGAUCUUCUCCUAAUUAAGUCGUGCCUGCUUCUGUUCCUUCUAGUCUUACUCAUCAUCUGAAAACCCACCGUCACUGGAAAACUUUCAGCCAAUCCCACAUAAGUCCUUACUUUGACGUAUGCUUCUUAAUACGUAUUCUUCACGAUCCUUAUGUACUUCUGAGGAACCCGUUUCUCUCUCAUACAUCUCCAUAGCCGAUGUCUAGGAACCAUAUCGCACGUCUUCUCAAGAUCCAGAAAUACCAAAUGUAGCUCUCUUUUCUUCUCGCCAUAUAUCUCUGUCAACUGUCUUAAAGCAAACCAGGCAUCUGUUGUCCUCCUUUCUGGCAUAAACCCAACUGUUGUUCUCCUAUCGAUGUAUCUCUCCCUAAACUUCGUUCUCUCCCGAAUUUUCAGUCCUGAAUAUCCCUUUUAUCUUUAUACAAUGGUACCAUCACUCUCCAUCCAUUGGGCAUAAUUUCUUCCUCAUAUAUCCGACUCAUCAUUUUCUACAAAAUAUUAACUUCUUCCUCUCCUAGAGUCUUCCAAACCUUCACAUCAAGUCCUACUGCUUUACCAUGCUUCAUCCUAUUUAACGCCUCGACACUCGUCUGUCGCUAUCCCCGGUGUAUUACAUUCUCAUUUGGGAUCCCGUAUCCUCUGUCUCUCCUCUGGUGUUCUUCGUUUAGUAACUUUCUAAAGUACUCAUACCAUCAUCAUCAUGGCUUACUCACUCCUUUCGGAGUGUUUGUCGCCCUUCCGGCUCUCUGAUUCAUUUGUUGCGGAGAAUCAGUCCGCUGUUGUCUUUUUAUUAUUAUAACAGCGUGUUGUGUGACUUGGCCUUGUCUACAAUUAUCCUUCAUUUUUUCCGGUCCUUACAUCGCUCCUUUCAAUUGUAGUUUCUUAGCUUCUUUAUGUCUCCUAAGACUUGAUCUCUCCAUACUGUUUUGGGUCUUCCCUUUGGUCUCUUUGUUGUUGGUCUCCAGCCGGUUAUUUGCUUUAGCGUAGAAUCUGGGUUAGCUCUUUCUAUGUAUCCCAGCCACCUGAGCCUUUACGCCUUCGCGAACUUGAUUAUGUCUUCACCCUAAAUGGCUUCUCUUUUGUAGGGAUUGAUGUUAUCAGACCGCAGUUCCAGUCACUCGGCAUGCGUUUUUCUUCCCAUAUUUGUUCAGAGUACUCAUACCGUCUUUGCUUUAUUUCAACAUCAGUUAUUAGCACUUUACCAUCCGUACUCUCAUCUGCUCUACGUGAGUCAAUUCCUUUGGUGACUUGUCCCUUGCUUUAAAUAUGCUAUAUAACCGUUUCCAUCCCUCGGGUGUUUCCAACUCUUCAUAUAGUUGUGCAGACGAUCUUUCCUUAGCAAUAGCCACAGCGCGCUUUACUUCUCUGAGAGGAGUCAAACACGGAUGAAUAUUAUCACUAAAAAUUUACUGUGAGAAAAUAAUAUAGAAAUCUAUUGAACCAGAAGCAGCAGGGAUAGAGUCAUUUGUGAAUUGUCAGAUUGUGCUUGUAGGGUGUCAUCCUCAAAGUAGUUACUAACACAUAUUAAUAAAAUGAUACAAUGUUCAAACGUUUUGUUGAAUUUAAUAUACUAUUUUUUUGUGCAAUUAUUUAAACUGUAAUUUUAUAAUAAAAAUAAAAAUCUUAUGUAGA